CUCCGAAUGCAUCUAGAUUAGAGUUUGAUCAUGGCUCAGAUUGAACGCUGGCGGCAGGCCUAACACAUGCAAGUCGAGCGGAUGACGGGAGCUUGCUCCUUGAAUUCAGCGGCGGACGGGUGAGUAAUGCCUAGGAAUCUGCCUGGUAGUGGGGGACAACGUUUCGAAAGGAACGCUAAUACCGCAUACGUCCUACGGGAGAAAGCAGGGGACCUUCGGGCCUUGCGCUAUCAGAUGAGCCUAGGUCGGAUUAGCUAGUUGGUGGGGUAAUGGCUCACCAAGGCGACGAUCCGUAACUGGUCUGAGAGGAUGAUCAGUCACACUGGAACUGAGACACGGUCCAGACUCCUACGGGAGGCAGCAGUGGGGAAUAUUGGACAAUGGGCGAAAGCCUGAUCCAGCCAUGCCGCGUGUGUGAAGAAGGUCUUCGGAUUGUAAAGCACUUUAAGUUGGGAGGAAGGGCAGUUAA
Molecule: ribosomal RNA, 469 nt
Filed under: uncultured bacterium
Lineage: Bacteria
Description: bacterial SSU rRNA
Rfam family: Bacterial small subunit ribosomal RNA
Source: RNAcentral